AUACGGAGGAUCCGAGCGUUAUCCGGAUUUAUUGGGUUUAAAGGGAGCGUAGGUGGACAGUUAAGUCAGUUGUGAAAGUUUGCGGCUCAACCGUAAAAUUGCAGUUGAUACUGGCUGUCUUGAGUACAGUAGAGGUGGGCGGAAUUCGUGGUGUAGCGGUGAAAUGCUUAGAUAUCACGAAGAACUCCGAUUGCGAAGGCAGCUCACUGGACUGCAACUGACACUGAUGCUCGAAAGUGUGGGUAUCAAACAGGAUUAGAUGCCCUGGUAGUCCACACAGUAAACGAUGAAUACUCGCUGUUUGCGAUAUACAGUAAGCGGCCAAGCGAAAGCAUUAAGUAUUCCACCUGGGGAGUACGCCGGCAACGGUGAAACUCAAAGGAAUUGACGGGG
This 393-nucleotide ribosomal RNA is filed under the name uncultured bacterium. RNAcentral describes it as "partial 16S ribosomal RNA". It matches the Rfam family "Bacterial small subunit ribosomal RNA", at positions 523 to 918 of the family's 1533-position model. The record is from RNAcentral.